CAUAUAAUAGCUUAAAGAUAAAGCAUUAAACUUUUAAUUUAAAGAUAAGAUUUCUUUUAUAUGA
RNAcentral lists this transfer RNA (64 nucleotides) under Savignium sp. BKKC-2014. RNAcentral describes it as "tRNA-Lys". It matches the Rfam family "tRNA". From Rfam's summary of the family: Transfer RNA (tRNA) molecules are approximately 80 nucleotides in length. Their secondary structure includes four short double-helical elements and three loops (D, anti-codon, and T loops). Lineage: Eukaryota; Metazoa; Arthropoda; Thecostraca; Balanomorpha; Pyrgomatidae. The record is from RNAcentral.